RNAcentral lists this ribosomal RNA (356 nucleotides) under uncultured bacterium. RNAcentral's name for it is "bacterial SSU rRNA". It matches the Rfam family "Bacterial small subunit ribosomal RNA", at positions 335 to 683 of the family's 1533-position model. The record is from RNAcentral.
ACUCCUACGGGAGGCAGCAGUGGGGAAUAUUGCACAAUGGGCGCAAGCCUGAUGCAGCCAUGCCGCGUGUAUGAAGAAGGCCUUCGGGUUGUAAAGUACUUUCAGCAGUGAGGAAGGUGGGUAUGUUAAUAGCAUACUCAUUUGACGUUAGCUGCAGAAGAAGCACCGGCUAACUCCGUGCCAGCAGCCGCGGUAAUACGGAGGGUGCGAGCGUUAAUCGGAAUUACUGGGCGUAAAGCGCAUGCAGGUGGUUUGUUAAGUCAGAUGUGAAAGCCCGGGGCUCAACCUCGGAAUUGCAUUUGAAACUGGACAAACUAGAGUACUGUAGAGGGGGUAGAAUUUCAGGUGUAGCGGUG